GGGGGGGGGGGGGGGGGGGGGGGGGGGGGGGAGGGCGGGGGGGGGGGGCCUGCGGGGGUGGGGUGCUCGGGUGGCGGACGGGUGAGUAACGCGGGAGUAACCUGCCCGUGACUUUGGGAUCACGUCAGGCAACUGGGGCUAAUACCGGAUAGGAGCUCCUGCUGCAUGGUGGGGGUUGGAAGGUUUCGGCGGUUGGUGAGGGACGCGCGGCUUAUCAGCUUGUUGGUGGGGUAGUUGCUUACCAAGGCUUUGACGGGUAGCCGGCCUGAGAGGGUGACCGGCCACAUUGGGACUGAGAUACGGCCCAGACUCCUACGGGAGGCAGCAGUGGGGAAUAUUGCACAAUGGGCGGAAGCCUGAUGCAGCAACGCCGCGUGCGGGAUGACGGCCUUCGGGUUGUAAACCGCUUUCGCCUGUGACGAAGCGUGAGUGACGGUAAUGGGUAAAGAAGCACCGGCUAACUACGUG
This 468-nucleotide ribosomal RNA is filed under the name uncultured bacterium. Its description in RNAcentral is "partial 16S ribosomal RNA". The stretch from base 58 to 468 matches the Rfam family "Bacterial small subunit ribosomal RNA", at positions 39 to 507 of the family's 1533-position model. The record is from RNAcentral.